Molecule: ribosomal RNA, 910 nt
Filed under: uncultured bacterium
Lineage: Bacteria
Description: bacterial SSU rRNA
Rfam family: Bacterial small subunit ribosomal RNA
Source: RNAcentral
ACGCUGGCGGCGUGCCUAAUACAUGCAAGUAGAACGCACAGGAUGCACCGUAGUUUACUACACCGUAUUCUGUGAGUUGCGAACGGGUGAGUAACGCGUAGGUAACCUGCCUGGUAGCGGGGGAUAACUAUUGGAAACGAUAGCUAAUACCGUAUAAGAACAUUUACUGCAUGGUAGAUGUUUAAAAGGUGCAAGAGCAUCACUACCAGAUGGACCUGCGUUGUAUUAGCUAGUUGGUGAGGUAACGGCUCACCAAGGCAACGAUACAUAGCCGACCUGAGAGGGUGAUCGGCCACACUGGGACUGAGACACGGCCCAGACUCCUACGGGAGGCAGCAGUAGGGAAUCUUCGGCAAUGGGGGGAACCCUGACCGAGCAACGCCGCGUGAGUGAAGAAGGUUUUCGGAUCGUAAAGCUCUGUUGUUAAGGAAGAACGUGUGUGAGAGUGGAAAGUUCACACAGUGACGGUACUUAACCAGAAAGGGACGGCUAACUACGUGCCAGCAGCCGCGGUAAUACGUAGGUCCCGAGCGUUGUCCGGAUUUAUUGGGCGUAAAGCGAGCGCAGGCGGUUAGAUAAGUCUGAAGUGAAAGGCAGUGGCUCAAUCAUUGUAGGCUUUGGAAACUGUUUAACUUGAGUGCAGAAGGGGAGAGUGGAAUUCCAUGUGUAGCGGUGAAAUGCGUAGAUAUAUGGAGGAACACCGGUGGCGAAAGCGGCUCUCUGGUCUGUAACUGACGCUGAGGCUCGAAAGCGUGGGGAGCGAACAGGAUUAGAUACCCUGGUAGUCCACGCCGUAAACGAUGAGUGCUAGGUGUUAGGUCCUUUCCGGGACUUAGUGCCGCAGCUAACGCAUUAAGCACUCCGCCUGGGGAGUACGACCGCAAGGUUGAAACUCAAAGGAAUUGACGGG